UUUAAUUACAACUAUAAAUUUUCGUGCCUAACUUUGACCGUUCAUUUUAUUUAGAAAUUUUUUAUAAUUAGUAUUUUUAUUGUUAUGAGAUGAUAAAAUAUGAAUAGUACUUUAUACGUGACUUAUGUUUUUAAAUUCUUUCAGAAAAUUUUUAAAUAAGCCGGACGGUCAAAGUUGUGCACAAAAAUCAUGGCUGCGCUUAAA
Molecule: microRNA precursor, 204 nt
Organism: Oryza rufipogon (brownbeard rice)
Lineage: Eukaryota; Viridiplantae; Streptophyta; Magnoliopsida; Poales; Poaceae
Rfam family: MIR812 microRNA precursor family
Source: Rfam